UUUUAUGGAGAGUUUGAUCCUGGCUCAGGAUGAACGCUGGCGGCGUGCCUAAUACAUGCAAGUCGAGCGAACGGACGAGAAGCUUGCUUCUCUGAUGUUAGCGGCGGACGGGUGAGUAACACGUGGAUAACCUACCUAUAAGACUGGGAUAACUUCGGGAAACCGGAGCUAAUACCGGAUAAUAUUUUGAACCGCAUGGUUCAAAAGUGAAAGACGGUCUUGCUGUCACUUAUAGAUGGAUCCGCGCUGCAUUAGCUAGUUGGUAAGGUAACGGCUUACCAAGGCAACGAUGCAUAGCCGACCUGAGAGGGUGAUCGGCCACACUGGAACUGAGACACGGUCCAGACUCCUACGGGAGGCAGCAGUAGGGAAUCUUCCGCAAUGGGCGAAAGCCUGACGGAGCAACGCCGCGUGAGUGAUGAAGGUCUUCGGAUCGUAAAACUCUGUUAUUAGGGAAGAACAUAUGUGUAAGUAACUGUGCACAUCUUGACGGUACCUAAUCAGAAAGCCACGGCUAACUACGUGCCAGCAGCCGCGGUAAUACGUAGGUGGCAAGCGUUAUCCGGAAUUAUUGGGCGUAAAGCGCGCGUAGGCGGUUUUUUAAGUCUGAUGUGAAAGCCCACGGCUCAACCGUGGAGGGUCAUUGGAAACUGGAAAACUUGAGUGCAGAAGAGGAAAGUGGAAUUCCAUGUGUAGCGGUGAAAUGCGCAGAGAUAUGGAGGAACACCAGUGGCGAAGGCGACUUUCUGGUCUGUAACUGACGCUGAUGUGCGAAAGCGUGGGGAUCAAACAGGAUUAGAUACCCUGGUAGUCCACGCCGUAAACGAUGAGUGCUAAGUGUUAGGGGGUUUCCGCCCCUUAGUGCUGCAGCUAACGCAUUAAGCACUCCGCCUGGGGAGUACGACCGCAAGGUUGAAACUCAAAGGAAUUGACGGGGACCCGCACAAGCGGUGGAGCAUGUGGUUUAAUUCGAAGCAACGCGAAGAACCUUACCAAAUCUUGACAUCCUUUGACAACUCUAGAGAUAGAGCCUUCCCCUUCGGGGGACAAAGUGACAGGUGGUGCAUGGUUGUCGUCAGCUCGUGUCGUGAGAUGUUGGGUUAAGUCCCGCAACGAGCGCAACCCUUAAGCUUAGUUGCCAUCAUUAAGUUGGGCACUCUAAGAUGACUGCCGGUGACAAACCGGAGGAAGGUGGGGAUGACGUCAAAUCAUCAUGCCCCUUAUGAUUUGGGCUACACACGUGCUACAAUGGACAAUACAAAGGGUAGCGAAACCGCGAGGUCAAGCAAAUCCCAUAAAGUUGUUCUCAGUUCGGAUUGUAGUCUGCAACUCGACUACAUGAAGCUGGAAUCGCUAGUAAUCGUAGAUCAGCAUGCUACGGUGAAUACGUUCCCGGGUCUUGUACACACCGCCCGUCACACCACGAGAGUUUGUAACACCCGAAGCCGGUGGAGUAACCUUUUAGGAGCUAGCCGUCGAAGGUGGGACAAAUGAUUGGGGUGAAGUCGUAACAAGGUAGCCGUAUCGGAAGGUGCGGCUGGAUCACCUCCUUUCUAAGGA
RNAcentral lists this ribosomal RNA (1560 nucleotides) under Staphylococcus aureus. RNAcentral describes it as "16S ribosomal RNA". It matches the Rfam family "Bacterial small subunit ribosomal RNA". Lineage: Bacteria; Bacillati; Bacillota; Bacilli; Caryophanales; Staphylococcaceae. The record is from RNAcentral.